Molecule: non-coding RNA, 30 nt
Filed under: Mus musculus (house mouse)
Lineage: Eukaryota; Metazoa; Chordata; Mammalia; Rodentia; Muridae
Source: RNAcentral
UGUAAGAAAAAAAACAUAUUCCCAAGGUGU